UUGACCUCAAAUCAGGUAGGACUACCCGCUGAACUUAAGCAUAUCAAUAAGCGGAGGAAAAGAAACUAACAAGGAUUCCCCUAGUAACUGCGAGUGAAGAGGGAAAAGCUCAAAUUUAAAAUCUGGCAGCUUCGCUGUCCGAGUUGUAAUUUAA
Molecule: ribosomal RNA, 154 nt
Filed under: Armillaria cepistipes
Lineage: Eukaryota; Fungi; Basidiomycota; Agaricomycetes; Agaricales; Physalacriaceae
Also listed under: 1 other name
Description: partial large subunit ribosomal RNA
Rfam family: Eukaryotic large subunit ribosomal RNA
Source: RNAcentral